Molecule: long non-coding RNA, 838 nt
Organism: Lycium barbarum (goji berry)
Lineage: Eukaryota; Viridiplantae; Streptophyta; Magnoliopsida; Solanales; Solanaceae
Exons: 3
Source: RefSeq, a predicted model, not a curated record
UGUUAGAACCCGUAUUUUUGUACAGUGAAAUAAUCCGGAUUUAUUUAUGAUAAUCUAAGGACAAAAUUAUUUUGGGAUACAAAGUCGGGAUUCUUGACCUUCGAAUUUAUUUUGAGAUAUAAGUUGUGCAUGAAUUUAUUGGUAUGGAACAAUUAGGAAAAUUUGGGACCAAAAGUGAUAAAAUUUGAAGUGGAAAGUCAUCCACAAAUUCCAUGUGGUGCCCACACAACUUUGUGUCAUCUUCUAAGUGGAACAACUCAUUAUGUGGGCCAAGGGACCUUGACCAAGUCUUGUUAACUUAAAUAAAGAUGACCACUUCAUUUUUCUCUUCAUCCACACUUAAAAAAAAAAAAAAAAAAAAAAAAAAAAGUGAAGCUCCCUCCAUUAAGGAGCUCACGGCCACAACCCAAAAAAAAAAAAAAAAUCCACCUCCAUUUCUUGUCCUUCUAAAAUUAUUUUGAUGAUGAAAACCUAUUAUAUUGAGGUCCCUAAGUAGCGUGGAAGCAUCGUUGGAGCGAUCAACCCAUUGUUUUUCAUCUUUUGGAAACCCUAGCCUAUUGGAAGUUGAAGAGAAAAAGAUCGUGGGCAGCCCGAAUCAUAGGUUGGAUUUAGCUUGAGUUUGGAUCGUAUUGGAGAGCGUUUGAGGUACGGACGCACAGCCUGGUGAUCCACCUGUUUAGGACACCCUUUCUGCUAUUCGGAGUGCUCCUCUCUUUCCGGAGCUUAUACUUUUGGUAUAUAUAUUUUUAUUAGUGCAUUUGUAUAUAUUCGUUCAUGGGUACGGCGGGGCCCUGUCCUGUCAUAUGAUUCUGUCGGUCUGUUUAGAGAUCUGUGGACA